This 1533-nucleotide long non-coding RNA is filed under the name Felis catus (domestic cat). Its description in RNAcentral is "lncRNA (ENSFCAG00000044224.2)". Lineage: Eukaryota; Metazoa; Chordata; Mammalia; Carnivora; Felidae. The record is from RNAcentral.
AGACACCGUCUUCCCCACAACGUGCACCUACGGCCUUCCGGGGCGCCCCACAUGCAGGGGACCGAGGACAGGAAAUCCGUCCGGUGGGCGGGGCCCGGAGUGGAAGCGGCUGAGCCUUCGCCUGUUCGUGGGAAGGGGCCAGUGGGGCACCUUCGACGCGUCGCCUCUGCACCCAGGGGGCACAUCGAAGCCGCGGUGUCCAGACUGCACUCCUGAUGCCUCCCCCAGGCGGCUCCCUGCACAACCUCCCGCGCUUAGCUACACAAAUGGCAACCCCCCACCCCAGGGCUCAGACCCAAGUUGGGGGCACCCUCGACCCACACCCAUGCCUGGUUCUGUAGCAAGUGGUGCUGCCAGCUCUGCCCCCAACGCACAUCCUGACACCACGCACUCCUCACCUGGCGGUCAGGAGCUUCCUCGCUCACUCACCGUCUCCUCCGCCUCUCCUUUGCCCCAGCCCUGGGGAGGUGUUCCAACAGCCAGAGCGGUUGCACCCCAAUAUCAUCAGCUUCUGUUCGGACCCUCCAGAAAGGGGCCAGGAGGCAGGGGCUUCCCUGGGACUGCCCUCCCUGCCUCCCCCGCUGACCACCCUGCAAGCCAAGAGCCAUCCACACCAGCAUCGCAAGGCCCCACAAAGCGGGGCGCACAGACAGCGUGGCUGGUGGAGCCGAGCCCACAGGGACACAGGGGGAGCCGUCUUUCUCCAGUGGCAGGUGACACACGGCUAGGACGCAGCUCACGAAGCCACGCGUCCACCCCGCGGCACCCUGGGCGGAUCAGGGCCUCUCCUGAAAUCAGAAAGUGCGCUGCGGCCUGACCGACAUCAGUCCGCCCGGGUCAAAGCCUUUCCUCCCCGCCCGACAGAACCCGGGCUGGUGCCUCCGGUGGAGAAGGGGGUGGGCUCCUCGCCCCUCUCCUUCUUUCCCUGCUGCUUCUCUUGAUUGGCUCCCCCGAGGGGAUGAUGGAGGAGGGCGGGCUCCCCUCCUGCCACCCACAACCGUGGCUGCCCCCAUGAUGCUGUCUCCAGCAGGGCCCCUCCCCGGCAGCGCACCCACGGCCUCCUGCCGCCGCUUCCCCGAGCCACCCCUAUUGGACCCCAGGACGGGCUCCCCAGCUGCCUGGAUCGGAAGCAGGGAGCCCUGUCCAAGGCCGGGCCGGGCUGUGCAGGGCGGGCGCCUCCCACCCGUGCGCGGCGGCCGAGGGCCUCUCGGGGGGAGCGGACUCUUCCCCACAGGCUUCUGGGCCGUGUUCUUGAAACACUGGCCGGCUGUCCUUUCCAGGGGCCUUAUUCUAAGGCUGAUGCUGAGGCGCCCGGAGGGCUCAGUCGGCUGAGCGUCCGACUUCGGCUCAGGUCAUGAUCUCGCAGUUUAUGAGUUCGAGCCCCGCGUCGGGCUCUGUGCUGCCGGCUCGGAGCCCGGAGCCUGCUUCGGAUUCUGUGCCUCCCUCUCUCUCUGCCCCUCCCCUGCACACGCUCUGUCUCUGUCUCUCUCUCUUUCAAAAGUAAAUAAACAUUGGGGGCGCUUGGAUGGUUCA